AACGAACGCUGGCGGCAUGCCUAACACGUGCAAGUCGAACGAGACCUUCGGGUCUAGUGGCGCACGGGUGCGUAACGCGUGGGAACCUGCCCUUAGGUUCGGAAUAACUCCCCGAAAGGGGUGCUAAUACCGGAUAAUGUCUUCGGACCAAAGAUUUAUCGCCUUUGGAUGGGCCCGCGUUGGAUUAGCUAGUUGGUAGGGUAAAAGCCUACCAAGGCGACGAUCCAUAGCUGGUCUGAGAGGAUGAUCAGCCACACUGGGACUGAGACACGGCCCAGACUCCUACGGGAGGCAGCAGUGGGGAAUAUGGGACAAUGGGCGAAAGCCUGAUCCAGCAAUGCCGCGUGAGUGAUGAAGGCCUUAGGGUUGUAAAGCUCUUUUACCCGGGAUGAUAAGGACAGUACCGGGAGAAUAAGCUCCGGCUAACUCCGG
This 432-nucleotide ribosomal RNA is filed under the name uncultured bacterium. RNAcentral describes it as "partial 16S ribosomal RNA". It matches the Rfam family "Bacterial small subunit ribosomal RNA", at positions 29 to 506 of the family's 1533-position model. The record is from RNAcentral.